UAUAUUUUAGUGUAUGAUGCACGGGAAUUUUUGAUAUUUCAAGAAAUAGUUUGAUUCUGUUAAAUAUAA
Molecule: transfer RNA, 69 nt
Filed under: Phaneroptera gracilis (slender bush katydid)
Lineage: Eukaryota; Metazoa; Arthropoda; Insecta; Orthoptera; Tettigoniidae
Description: tRNA-Gln
Source: RNAcentral